This 252-nucleotide ribosomal RNA is filed under the name uncultured bacterium. Its description in RNAcentral is "partial 16S ribosomal RNA". It matches the Rfam family "Bacterial small subunit ribosomal RNA", at positions 524 to 776 of the family's 1533-position model. The record is from RNAcentral.
UACGGAGGAUGCGAGCGUUAUCCGGAUUUAUUGGGUUUAAAGGGUGCGUAGGCGGGCUUUUAAGUCAGCGGUAAAAAUUCGGGGCUCAACCCCGUCCGGCCGCUGAAACUGGGGGUCUUGAGUGGGCGAGAAGAAGGCGGAAUGCGUGGUGUAGCGGUGAAAUGCAUAGAUAUCACGCAGAACCCCGAUUGCGAAGGCAGCCUUCCGGCGCCCUACUGACGCUGAGGCGCGAAAGUGCGGGGAUCGAACAGG